This 429-nucleotide ribosomal RNA is filed under the name Bacteroidota bacterium. RNAcentral describes it as "Bacteroidetes bacterium partial 16S ribosomal RNA". It matches the Rfam family "Bacterial small subunit ribosomal RNA", at positions 355 to 776 of the family's 1533-position model. The record is from RNAcentral. Lineage: Bacteria; Pseudomonadati; Bacteroidota.
UAGGGAAUCUUCCGCAAUGGACGCAAGUCUGACGGAGCAACGCCGCGUGAGUGAAGAAGGAUUUCGGUUCGUAAAACUCUGUUGUUAGAGAAGAACAGCGCAUAGAGUAACUGUUAUGCGUGUGACGGUAUCUAACCAGAAAGCCGCGGCUAACUACGUGCCAGCAGCCGCGGUAAUACGUAGGUGGCAAGCGUUGUCCGGAUUUAUUGGGCGUAAAGCGAGCGCAGGCGGUCAAUUAAGUCUGAUGUGAAAGCCCCCGGCUCAACCGGGGAGGGUCAUUGUGAACUGGUUGACUUGAGUGCAGAAGAGGAGAGGGGAAUUCCAUGUGUAGCGGUGAAAUGCGUAGAUAUAUGGAGGAACACCAGUGGCGAAGGCGACUCUCUGGUCUGUAACUGACGCUGAGGCUCGAAAGCGUGGGUAGCAAACAGG